UACAGAGGGUGCAAGCGUUAAUCGGAAUUACUGGGCGUAAAGCGCGCGUAGGUGGUUUGUUAAGUUGGAUGUGAAAUCCCCGGGCUCAACCUGGGAGCUGCAUUCAAAACUGACUGACUAGAGUGUGGUAGAGGGUGGUGGAAUUUCCUGUGUAGCGGUGAAAUGCGUAGAUAUAGGAAGGAACACCAGUGGCGAAGGCGACCACCUGGACCAACACUGACACUGAGGUGCGAAAGCGUGGGGAGCAAACAGGAUUAGAAACCCUGUAGU
RNAcentral lists this ribosomal RNA (270 nucleotides) under uncultured bacterium. RNAcentral's name for it is "partial 16S ribosomal RNA". It matches the Rfam family "Bacterial small subunit ribosomal RNA", at positions 524 to 794 of the family's 1533-position model. The record is from RNAcentral.